GACAGAGGUGCCAAGCGUUAGGCGGAAUCACUGGGCUUAAAGCGUGUGUAGGCGGACUGGUAAGUACCUUGUGAAAUCCCACGGCUUAACCGUGGAACUGCUUGGUAUACUGCUGGUCUUGAGCCACCUAGGGGCGAGCGGAACAAAUGGUGGAGCGGUGAAAUGCGUAGAUAUCGUUUGGAACGCCGAUGGUGAAAACAGGUUGCUGGGGCUGCGCUGACGCUGAGACACGAAAGCCAGGGGAGCGAACGGG
RNAcentral lists this ribosomal RNA (253 nucleotides) under uncultured bacterium. Its description in RNAcentral is "partial 16S ribosomal RNA". It matches the Rfam family "Bacterial small subunit ribosomal RNA", at positions 524 to 776 of the family's 1533-position model. The record is from RNAcentral.